Corvus hawaiiensis (hawaiian crow) is the source of this 4640-nucleotide RNA transcript. It is a transcript of the gene named tyrosylprotein sulfotransferase 1, with no coding region annotated. The record is from RefSeq and is a predicted model, not a curated record. The transcript has 7 exons. Lineage: Eukaryota; Metazoa; Chordata; Aves; Passeriformes; Corvidae.
UCAGUGGAUCAUAGCAUGGAAAGACAUGCAAUUAAUUUGAAAAUUAGCAUUUUUAUUCACAGCAGCCACUGAUGUUGUUUGCCAGGCUGCAGCCUUGGGCUGCAAGUGUUUCCAUUUUGAUCUGCCCUUUCCUGAAAUGAAGUUAUUGAAAUUUGUUCUGAGCAUAUAAAAAGCAGAUGGAACCAGACUGUAAAUAUCUGUAGCCAACAAGAACAACUCAACAGAGCCCUGAAGUUGGAUGUUCCAUCUUGGGAAUUGGUUUGUUGCUGGGAUGGAUUUUUGCCAGCAUCUCUGUUGUUGUGGGGGUAUUGUGGAUGCAAGAACUCCCUCACUUGCUGGAUUGAACCUUUUUAUCAGUAUCAGUUCCAGAUGUUAACAGCUGUUAGCCCUGUGCAACGGCAUGGAUGGCUUGUAAACAAUAAUUCCCCUAAAAAUCCAAUGCUGAACAACAUUUUGACAACAAUUUGAAAGGCUCUGGGCUUGUGGCAUGUGCACCACAUCAAGAAAUGAAUUGUAAACCUGCUGCCUGUAAAUUCAGGUGAGGAUUUGCUCUGAGGACAGGUUUGAGUUGUGUUGUUUGAUCUUUUCUAUGUCAGAACCCCCAGAUCAGAAAUGAUUUAUGGAGUGCAAAUAUCGCCUUGCCGAUGUGACACCAUUUCCCAGGGUCCUGAGUAUCACACCGACGAUCUGCCAAUCUCCCAGGGCUGCUUUUUGUAUCCUUAAUUAACAGGAGAUUAACAGGAGAUGGACCCUCCUAAUUGUUCUUGUGGAACAGAGAAGAUGGCACCGAGUGGCUCUUUGGGUGCAAGAAAGGUAAAUGUGUGCUCUGAGAAGAAACUGAAUAUUUAAGAAGUGGAUAUUACUUUUAAUUUUCUCAUUCCUUAUCUCUCCCUCAUUUUUUUUCUCUGUUGUCUGUGUUUGGCUCUGCUUUUGUGCUGAGAAAGGGGAAGGAGCUGCCAGAAUUCCUGAUCUGAUGCUUCAAAACACCUGGACUUUCUCUUCCCAUAAAUCCAAAUUUCUUGAGUUUAGCAGACCCUGCUGGGGAAGUUUUAUUAGAAGAAGCUUUGUUUUAUGGGAGGAGAAGGAGCUGCUGCUCCUACCUGGCUGUGCUCUGGUGCUGGGCAAGGGGCAUGGAACCAGAUAACACAGGGAAUUUUGGGGAAGAUCCAGGAGCAGCUUUGGUGGAGCUCAGGGCUGUGUGUGAGCCUGUGCCCACCACUGAGUGCAGAAUGGGAUGAGCAGGGAGCAAAAUUAAUGAGGUUUGUGUUUGUGUGGGUGUUCCUUAGCUAAAGGUGAGCAGGCUGAGGGAGGAAAAGCAAACCCACAGAAUUUGGAGCUUUGGGGUCUUUUUAGAAGCAGAUUGUCUUCAAACAGCACCGAAGUUAGACGUGGAAAUCGCUCACACCAUUCACUGGGCACCUGGUAUCCCUUAUCCCAUGGGAAAAGUGGGAUAGCACUCACCUUCCUGGGGUUUAUUCCCCAUCCCAGGCAGCUCCACACCAGCCUCACCAGCUGCAGUGUUAAAUUUCCAUCCCCUCUAUGAUUUGCUGGUUUUUUAAUACUCUUCAAACCCAUCUGCAUUUUCCCUUUUGUGCUGUUCCUGGAUUUCCUUACACAAAGCCCUGGCUCGGGGGUGCAGCAGCCGGGAGGGAGGGAAAAGGAAGGACUGGAAACACCCACACAAAACCUGAUGGGAUCCAGCUCUUCCUCCCAGCAGGUUUGCUCCUUCAUCACCCAGAAACCUCCCCAAAAGCUGCUGCUUCCCACUGCCCACGCUGGGGAUGGAAAUGGGCUAAUCCAGGCCAAUUUAAACAUUGUCCCUUUUCCUCUGCAGCAUCGUGGCCCCAGGCGUGGCCUCAGCAGGAAUUUGCCUCUUUCCCAUCCCCGUGGGCUGCUCCAAGUGGGACAGGACCCCUUGGCCUGUGUCACCACCUCAGGUGAGACCCCAGCAGCUGAAGCCACGGGGGAAGGUGGCUUAAGCCACUGGAAAUGGCCCCAAAUCCUCCUCAUGCUCCCAAAAGCUGCUGGAGGGUGUCCAUGUGUAACCCAUCCCUGUUUGCUGGGAUUGUCACCCUUGGAAACCACCAGGUUUGGUGGGAUGAGAUGGAAUGUGCAGGUUUUCACCCCAAAACCUGUGACUGACCCUCCAAAUGCUGCUUCUUCAGCAUUCAACCUCCAAAGGCUGCUUCUUCCUCUUUGGGUUUUGAGCUUUUCCCAGCCUUUUCCACUGCUCUGGAGCUGAAAUCUUCCCUCCAGUGCCAGCUGAGCUGGUUGGAGCAGGCCAGGAGCAGAGGCUCCAAGGAAAACCAUAAUAUUUUGGGAGCAGUGGUGAGGCAGGGAGAGUCGGAAGGAGCCUUUUGAAAAAAAUUCGAAGGUUUUUUUUUUUGCCAGGGCCUCAGCAGAGCCCAGGAGUUAAUCAUUCAAAUAUGCUUAUGUGUAACUAAUCUCUGCAGGACAAUGAGCUGAGGAAUUAUUUAAUGCAAUUGAAAUGGAGCAGAGUGGUUGCUAUAAAAAGGGUGUCCCGAGCCAAUGGGAGCCAGCAGGAUCCUAUAAAAGCGGGUGGGGAAGAAAAAGCAGCUGGUGGGAAGAGAUCACCAAAGUCCCCAUGCGUGUCCUGAGCUGCCUCUGCUUGGGCAGAGAUCCUCCUGAGCUGCUGGAAAUCAGGCUGAGCCCUUCUCCAAGCACUGCUGAUCCCUGUGGGGUCAGUGCAUGCCGUGGCAAGGGCGGCAUCUGCCCGGAAUUGCCUGGUGGAGCCUAAAACGAUGAAAUCCAGCAGAGCUACCUUAAUUUAUUUUGGAUUAGGAUUCCCAUGGCACGUGAACUAGAGGAUAAUUUGGAGUAGGAGGUCUCUUUAUUGAGGUGACUCUCUCCCAAGAUGGUUGGGAAGCUGAAGCAGAACCUGCUGCUGGCCUGCCUGGUGAUCAGCUCGGUGACCGUGUUCUACCUGGGCCAGCACGCCAUGGAGUGCCACCACCGCAUGGAGGAGCGCAGCCAGCCCCUGAGGGGGGGGGACAGUGCCAGGGGCACGCUGAGGACAGCCCCCAGUGCCAGUGCCAACAGAAGCCUGCCCUACAGCAAGGACAUGCCCCUGAUCUUCAUCGGCGGCGUCCCCCGCAGCGGCACCACGCUGAUGCGCGCCAUGCUGGACGCGCACCCCGACAUCCGCUGCGGGGAGGAGACCAGGGUGAUCCCCAGGAUCCUGGCGGUCAAGCAGAUGUGGGCCAGGUCCAGCAAGGAAAAAAUCCGCCUGGAUGAGGCUGGAGUCACGGAUGAGGUGCUGGAUUCAGCCAUGCAGGCGUUUUUGUUGGAGAUCAUCGUGAAACACGGCGAGCCCGCUCCGUACUUGUGUAACAAAGAUCCUUUUGCUUUAAAAUCCUUAACUUAUCUUGCCAGAAUUUUCCCUAAUGCCAAAUUCCUCCUGAUGGUCCGAGAUGGCCGCGCAUCUGUGCAUUCCAUGAUCUCCAGGAAAGUCACAAUAGCUGGCUUUGACCUGAACAGCUACAGGGACUGCCUGACCAAGUGGAACCGUGCCAUAGAAACCAUGUACAACCAGUGCAUGGAGGUGGGCUUUGAGAGGUGCAUGCUGGUGCACUAUGAACAGCUGGUGCUGCAUCCUGAGAGGUGGAUGAGGACUCUCCUCAAGUUCCUGCACAUCCCAUGGAACCAGGCAGUGCUGCACCAUGAGGAGAUGAUUGGAAAAGCAGGGGGGGUUUCUCUUUCCAAGGUUGAAAGAUCCACUGACCAAGUCAUCAAGCCAGUGAAUGUGGAAGCACUGUCCAAAUGGGUUGGGAAGAUCCCUGCUGAUGUCCUGCAGGACAUGCCAGUGAUUGCCCCCAUGCUGGCCAAACUGGGCUAUGAUCCCUAUGCCAACCCACCCAAUUAUGGGAAACCAGAUCAAAAAGUGGUGGAAAACACAAGGAGGGUCUAUAAAGGUGAAUUUCAGCUUCCUGACUUCCUUAAAGAAGUGCCACAGCCAAAGAAGACAGUAGAAAGGAAGUCUCGUGGCAAGAUAAAAUGAACAUGGAUCAGUGAAGUGGAAUAGCUGUAGUACUGAACCUAUGGAAUAGAAGAUAAAAUGGACAUUUCUUGCACAGAAGAAGAUGAACUGCUGCCUUUUCCAUGGGAAUGAUCCCUCAGGCCUGUCCCCCUGGGAUCAGAGGUGUGCUGCUCAUGGCCUGCUCUCUUCAGAAUGCUCUCUCCUGUUCCUUUCAUCCUGUUUUUGUUCCAAAUUUUGCUGUUGUGAGCGCAUGUAAAUCUGUUAAAAAACAAACAAAAAAAAAUCACCGUUGUUAAUGUAGAACUGCAUUACAUUCGCACAACUAUUUUUUUUAAGGUUUUAAAAAAUGCAAAAGCAAUGCCUGUCUCUGAAAUUGCUCCUCUGUUUUAAUUACAGAGCUCCAUCUUCACAGAUUUUUUUUGUUUCUUGUAGCAGUUUGGUUUUAAAUGUACGAAGCUUUCACAAGUGGUCUGUGCUUGUCCUAAAAGAUUUUUGGUGGAACAGUUGUUUGUUUCAUUCAUAUGUGGAAAAUGUUAAAUAUCUUUUAUUUAAAAAAAGAAAAAAAAGUUGAUAAAUUACAUGUACAAUUACAAUUCAAUGAUCUUUUGUAUUUUAUUUUUCAAAAUAAAUGCUUUAAAUGUGA